RNAcentral lists this unclassified non-coding RNA (339 nucleotides) under soil metagenome. RNAcentral's name for it is "partial contains 5.8S ribosomal RNA, internal transcribed spacer 2, and large subunit ribosomal RNA". The stretch from base 1 to 120 matches the Rfam family "5.8S ribosomal RNA", at positions 35 to 154 of the family's 154-position model. The record is from RNAcentral.
GAUGAAGAACGUAGCGAAAUGCGAUAAGUAAUGUGAAUUGCAGAAUUCCGUGAAUCAUCGAAUUUUUGAACGCAUAUUGCGCCCUCUGGUAUUCCGGAGGGCAUGCCUGUCCGAGCGUCAUUUAACCCCUCAAGCCUAGCUUGGUAUUGGGUGCUUGUCCCGCCUCUCGCGCGGCGACUCACCUCAAAGUCAUUGGCAGCCCGCAUCUCGCCGGCCGUGAGCGCAGCACAGACGCGCUCUUGGCAACGACGGAUCGGCUCUCCAAAAGCUUAUUUCAACCACUGACCUCGGAUCAGGUAGGGAUACCCGCUGAACUUAAGCAUAUCAAUAAGCGGAGGA